This is a long non-coding RNA of Diceros bicornis minor, 1596 nucleotides long. RefSeq lists it as uncharacterized. NCBI's taxonomy places the organism in Eukaryota, Metazoa, Chordata, Mammalia, Perissodactyla, Rhinocerotidae. The record is from RefSeq and is a predicted model, not a curated record. The transcript has 6 exons.
CUCUAGAAAACAUCUCAAGAUGAUCCAGGACCCAUCAAGCAUUGUCUACAUGAAGGUAGCUUAUCCACUGGAACAAUGAAAACUAGCAUACUACACCAGCCUUCAGCAUAUAGUAGACUCUCCUACUGGCCUUGAAGAAGCAAGUGCCUGGGAUGUGAACUACCUGUGGAAAGAGCCGUGUGGCAGGGAACUGCAGGUGGCCUUUAGGACCUGAAGGCCACAGUCCUACAGCCACAAGGAGCUGAAUUCUGCCAACAGCCAUGUGAGCUAGGAAAAAGACCCCGAGGUCCAGAUGAGAAUAUAGUCUGGUCCAUAUCAUGAUUAAAGCCUUGUGAGACCCUCAACAGAGGAUCCAAUUAAGUCGUGGCCAGAUGCCUGUCCCAUGGAAACUCUCUAAAAUGUCAAUACGUAUGGCAUUCUAUCUGUGAACCUGGGGAGAAAUGCCCCUGCUGUUUCCACCUGACCCAUUCAAUAUGAGAAACUGAUUUUGGAAUUUGAGGCAAUUCCCGGCAUGUUACAGCAGGUGCUGAUAUCUGAAUAUUGAAUUUGGGGAGUCUAAACAGAAGAAAUUUUAUACUAAUAUGAUUUAACACAAAGGUUUGAUAUAUGAUUGUAAAAAAAGAUGAGGUGACUGUCCUAUUCAUUUAUAAACAACAAGCUUCUCAGCAUAGUGCGUAGCAUACAGUAGGCAAUACAUAUUUUUAAGUGAAUGACAGAGUAAAGGAUGGCCACAUUAAUUGUCAUCCAGUACAUCUGAGUAGAAAUCACAUUCAUUCUUUAAGGACCAGCUAUUUCCCCUGAAAUUGUGCUUCAGUUUGGGAGCGAUAUACACAUCAGGAAGGUAAAAAGAGAUUAGAUUAGAUUAGAUUAGAUUAGAUUAGAUUAGAUUAGAUUAGAUUAGAUUAAAAGCAGAAAUCAUAGGUUGAUGUUCCAAGUAGUAAAUAUUAGUAGGCCCACAUCUUUACCCCUAUCUUCCCUUUGAUUCUGAUUUCUGAGUUUGAACAUGUAACGUGCUUUGGCUAAUGGGACAUUAGAGACUUGGGAAAGCACCUGUGUGUCUCUGCUCACCAUCUUGUUCUUCUGCCAUUGCCCAGAGGACAUGCCCAGGCUCAUGAGCUGGAAGAUAAAGGACACUGGUGUAGAGCUGAGUCUCUCCAGUCGUUCUAGCCAAGGCCAUCCUAGAUCAGCCAACAGUCAGCCAAACCCUAGACAUUUACCUCACUUUGAUGAAGCCAGCUGCCAUGUGGAAAAGGCCCACAUGGUCGUGAACUGCGGAAUCUCUGCUUAACAGCCAAUGAGGAACUGAGGCAGCCAAAACAAUCUGGCAAGGAACUGAAUCCUGCCAGUAGCCAUGUAAUUGAGCUUAGAAGAAGAUUCUUCCUCAACUGAGCCUUCAGAUGAGACCACAGACCCAACAAAUACCUUCACUGUAAUUCCAUGAUAGACCCUGAAACAUUGGACCCAGCUAAGCUUUUUCCAAAUUCCACAGAAACUGGGAGAUAAUAAGGCUCUGGACCAUGAGGGGCCACAUCCACACCAGAUGAAGAGAAUGAUUCAUUGGCCUGUGAUUUAAGACGGAGCUGAAUGCAGAAAAUG